GCACCCGAAUCUUUUCCUUGUUUCCUUGCUGUGUGGUGCAGGUCUAGGCAUGGUUGGUGCAUCAGCACAGCAGUGGAAAUCCAGAUGGGUUGUUUUGCACUGGUUUGGGACUCAUCUCUGCAUCAUUUACCACUUAA
This 137-nucleotide small nucleolar RNA is filed under the name Chaetura pelagica (chimney swift). Its description in RNAcentral is "Small nucleolar RNA SNORA55". It matches the Rfam family "Small nucleolar RNA SNORA55". From Rfam's summary of the family: ACA55 is a member of the H/ACA class of snoRNA that guide the sites of modification of uridines to pseudouridines. Lineage: Eukaryota; Metazoa; Chordata; Aves; Apodiformes; Apodidae. The record is from Rfam by way of RNAcentral.